Oreochromis niloticus (Nile tilapia) is the source of this 1386-nucleotide long non-coding RNA. RefSeq lists it as uncharacterized. The transcript has 3 exons. Lineage: Eukaryota; Metazoa; Chordata; Actinopteri; Cichliformes; Cichlidae. The record is from RefSeq and is a predicted model, not a curated record.
GGCACACCUGCGGCCUUGGGUCAAUCAGGCAGGUGUAUUAAAGGAGUGGCGUGGCAGCGGUUCUGAUCGUUGCCCCUGCUCUAAUGCUUGCCCAGGAUUUUGCAGGACUUUCACUGCAUCCUGCGCCACUUACCUGGACACCUCCACGGCUCCCACCUGCGCACCUCUCUGCCUCAGCCUUCUGUCCUCAAGCUCCGCCCGAGCCUUUGGUAGAAGUGUGACAAAUCGCCCGAGAUCCUCGGUCUUCGCUCCUGCGCCUCGUCAUCUUCUAUUGUGAUUUCACUGUUAAUACAUAAUUUACUGUAGUGUGUUUGAGUUGGUCUGCUCCUUGGGUCCACUUUAGCUGCACAUGACAGAAUGCAACUCUCAAAUCUCUAUUUAUCCUUUUGACCUCUACUGUGAAGGAUGUUAAAUAAAUCCUGCCCUGGCAUGUUUUUUAUCAUUUUUAUUAUAAGGAGUAACCAUACACAUAAGAGCUAAGCUUAAAAUUUAUGGUUUAAACUAAAACUGCAUAUAGGAGAUUGUCUACAGUUUCCUAAUUUAGUCAUCAUCUUUGGAUUCAACACAUCAAAAUCCAUACAAAAUGGCACAUUUCAUCUCUGGUUUCUCUGUGUAGCUGAAGGAUUCAGAGACGUCUGAUCUCAAAUUUUACAAGACCGAGCAUAAAACUACAUCCAUGUACUAUAUGCACAUAGCUUUGCUGCUGUAUUCACAACACAAAUACAAAUCAUAUCAGUAAUGAAAAAAGGCCCUGAGCAGGUGAAUAUAGUACAUAUGACGGUUCGUCCACAAGGAUAAACACACCAGCAGUUCCCAGAGGACCAGGAAGCCUACAGCGAGGCCACAAAUGUGCAUGGGGGGGGCAGAGAGAUGGUUAACAGGCAUGGCAGUGAGAAAGAACAGACGCAUGCAUCCAUCACAUUUAAUGCUUAAAACGUACCUCUGAUAUUAAGGCGAUACAUUAAAAUGUUCCACUCCUGUAAAAAUCAUUUCUAUCAAGAGACAAAUCUGUCCUUCAUGUGUUUCAUGAUAAAAAGUCUCAUAACCUCGUCAUGAAUGCACCAUUUUUCAGCUGCUAAACCCACGCUGAAGAAUACUAAAGCCCCAUCAGCCACUGCGUCUGCCUUUCAGCUCUUUACUAGUACACUGGGAGUGCUGUCAUUGAAAAUGUGAUAAUGCUGUGAUGAAUGACUUCUGGAUGACGUGAAAAAUGAUCUACAAGGGAGCACUAAAGAUUUCUUUUAGCAAUGACAUGAUAAAAAUCAUAAAAAUAUACAGGAAGACUAUGCGGUGAGGCCUUAAUGACUCUCAGCAGAUAUCUGAUGGUAACAGGAAAAAGUGACUGUCAGCAUCUCCUCACAGCAGCUCAGAUUUCUUCAACACGAG